Molecule: transfer RNA, 69 nt
Filed under: Pomacanthus imperator (emperor angelfish)
Lineage: Eukaryota; Metazoa; Chordata; Actinopteri; Pomacanthidae
Also listed under: 1 other name
Description: tRNA-Trp
Rfam family: tRNA
About the family: Transfer RNA (tRNA) molecules are approximately 80 nucleotides in length. Their secondary structure includes four short double-helical elements and three loops (D, anti-codon, and T loops). Further hydrogen bonds mediate the characteristic L-shaped molecular structure. tRNAs have two regions of fundamental functional importance: the anti-codon, which is responsible for specific mRNA codon recognition, and the 3' end, to which the tRNAs corresponding amino acid is attached (by aminoacyl-tRNA synthetases). tRNAs cope with the degeneracy of the genetic code in two manners: having more than one tRNA (with a specific anti-codon) for a particular amino acid; and 'wobble' base-pairing, i.e. permitting non-standard base-pairing at the 3rd anti-codon position.
Source: RNAcentral
AGUGACUUAGGUUAACUAGACCAAGAGCCUUCAAAGCCCUAAGCGGAAGUGAAAGUCCUCCAGUUACUG